ACUAUUUAGGCAGAUUAUUGUGAUAAAUUUAGAAUUUAUUUAUGGGACACCAAAUAGUG
Molecule: transfer RNA, 59 nt
Filed under: Metacrangonyx sp. 3 ssp. 1 MDMBR-2012
Lineage: Eukaryota; Metazoa; Arthropoda; Malacostraca; Amphipoda; Metacrangonyctidae
Description: transfer RNA Leucine
Source: RNAcentral